RNAcentral lists this small nuclear RNA (185 nucleotides) under Neotoma lepida (desert woodrat). RNAcentral's name for it is "U2 spliceosomal RNA". It matches the Rfam family "U2 spliceosomal RNA". Rfam says of the family: U2 is a small nuclear RNA (snRNA) component of the spliceosome (involved in pre-mRNA splicing). Complementary binding between U2 snRNA (in an area lying towards the 5' end but 3' to hairpin I) and the branchpoint sequence (BPS) of the intron results the bulging out of an unpaired adenosine, on the BPS, which initiates a nucleophilic attack at the intronic 5' splice site, thus starting the first of two transesterification reactions that mediate splicing. Lineage: Eukaryota; Metazoa; Chordata; Mammalia; Rodentia; Cricetidae. The record is from Rfam by way of RNAcentral.
AUCGCUUCUCGGCCUUUUGGCUAAGAUCAAGUGUAGUAUCUGAAUCCAGCACUUACCCUAGCCCUCAUCUUCAGAUAAUCUCGUCCUCCAAAUAUGAUACAUUUAUAUAAUAAUAAAUAUAGAAGGAAACGGUUUUGUUCUUUAGCAAAGCCUGUAGUCUGUUACUCUAGCAAACUGUAGCUUUU